Molecule: ribosomal RNA, 204 nt
Filed under: Triticum aestivum (bread wheat)
Lineage: Eukaryota; Viridiplantae; Streptophyta; Magnoliopsida; Poales; Poaceae
Description: partial small subunit ribosomal RNA
Source: RNAcentral
UCAACUCCAGUCUCCGCUCCACCUCAACUCCGGCCCUACCCCAGCGCGGCCCGGAUCGCCGACUCCUCCUGCUUCCCCCAGUACACCGCCUCCCUCAAGUGUCUGGAGACCAACCAGGACAAGAGCAAGUGCCAGCAGCAGUUCGACAACUACAAGGAGUGCAAGAAGAGAGAGGUUCACCUUUGUUUCCCCAAUUCUCUCUAG